UUAAGAAGUAAUAAUGAUUAUAGAACCUCCUUUUCAAGUUUCAAUACAGCCAUGAAAGCUUCUUGGGGUACAUCUACCUUACCUAUUGCCUUCAUUCUUUUCUUCCCUUCAGCCUGUUUCUUGAGCAACUUCUUUUUCCUUGUAAUGUCCCCACCAUAGCACUUGGCCAAGACAUCCUUCCUAAUUGCUGGCAAUGAUUCACUGGCAAUAACUUUUGAACCAAUGCAUGCUUGAAUGGGCACUUUAAACAUCUGUCGUGGUAUAAGCUCUUUCAACUUUUGCGUCAAAGCCCUUCCCACAGCAUAUGCCUUAUCCUUGUGCACAAUAGUUGCUAGCGGUUCAACUGGAUCACCAUUUAUUUGAAUGUCAAGUUUUAUUAAAUCACUUUCCUUGUACCCAACAAAAGUGUACUCCAUGCUAGCAUAUCCUUUACUCCUGGACUUCAACUGGUCAAAGAAAUCACCCACCAUCUCAGCAAGGGGUAAUUCAUAUGUGAUCGAUGCCCUAUUCUCAGUUAUAAAUUUCAUCUCUUUAAAAUUGCCUCUUCUAUCUUGAGCCAGCUCCAUAAGUGGACCAAUAUAAUCUUUUGGUGUAAGCAUUUCAAUCUUCACAAACGGCUCCUCAAUUGACAACCUUUUUCCAGGUUCAGGAAGUAAAGAUGGAUUUGAGCACUCAACAGUAUCGCCAUUUACACAGUUCACUCUGUACACAACACUUGGAGCAGUCGUUAUUAAGCUCAGAUUGUAUUCUCUCUCAAGCCUUUC
This 764-nucleotide unclassified non-coding RNA is filed under the name Hevea brasiliensis (rubber tree). The record is from RNAcentral. Lineage: Eukaryota; Viridiplantae; Streptophyta; Magnoliopsida; Malpighiales; Euphorbiaceae.